This 253-nucleotide ribosomal RNA is filed under the name uncultured bacterium. RNAcentral describes it as "partial 16S ribosomal RNA". It matches the Rfam family "Bacterial small subunit ribosomal RNA", at positions 524 to 776 of the family's 1533-position model. The record is from RNAcentral.
UACGUAGGGUGCAAGCGUUAUCCGGAUUUAUUGGGCGUAAAGGGCUCGUAGGCGGUUCGUCGCGUCCGGUGUGAAAGUCCAUCGCUUAACGGUGGAUCCGCGCUGGGUACGAGCGGGCUUGAGUGCGGUAGGGGAGACUGGAAUUCCCGGUGUAACGGUGGAAUGUGUAGAUAUCGGGAAGAACACCAAUGGCGAAGGCAGGUCUCUGGGCCGUUACUGACGCUGAGGAGCGAAAGCGUGGGGAGCGAACAGG